RNAcentral lists this long non-coding RNA (34850 nucleotides) under Populus tremula. RNAcentral describes it as "long non-coding RNA (PTRE_LNC001303)". The record is from RNAcentral. Lineage: Eukaryota; Viridiplantae; Streptophyta; Magnoliopsida; Malpighiales; Salicaceae.
UGGAAAACAUAUAUAAAACUAUAUAUUAGAAUAGCAUACAUAACCAACAAGCAAAUUCAAGUGGACAAAUGUUGCUUGAAAUCACAGCCAUGUUCCUUCUCUGAAACUUCAAUUGCUUUAUUAUACUAUUAUAGGCAUAGCCAAGUCAAGCCUGCACCGCGUGGAGCCUAAUCAAUACAAUCAGAGACUGCUGUUUGCCUUUUCCAUUUUGCAUCUCAUACUGCUCUGUCUUCUCAAUAUUUACUUGCCAUUUCUUGCUCACCUCCCCUGCUUUUAGUUUUCCUUGCACCUUUUCUACCUCUUCUUUCCAUUCCAAAACAAGCUAUGGCUGAUGCAAUUCUUUCUGCUCUCGCGAGUACAAUCGUGGGAACUUGGAUUCCUUAUUUCUUCAAGAGCAUGGACUUGCUGGGGGCCUAGAGACUGAGCUUGAAAAUCUCAAGCGCACGUUCAGAACCAUUCAAGCUGUGCUGCAAGAUGCAGAGGAGAAGCAGUGGAAGAGUGAGCCUAUCAAGGUGUGGCUCAGCGACCUCAAGGAUGCAGCUUAUGUUGUUGAUGAUGUACUGGAUGAGUUUGCAAUUGAAGCUCAGUGGCUUCUGCAGCGAAGAGAUCUCAAAAAUCGAGUAACAUCCUUCUUUUCUUUUGGUCAUAAUCCACUAGUUUUUCGACAAAGGAUGGCUCAUAAAUUGAAGAAUGUUAGAGAAAAACUAGAUGCCAUUGCCAAGGAGAGACAAAGUUUCCACCUAACAGAGGGGGUUGUGGAGAUGGAAACAAAUAGUUCUGUUCAGCGUCAGACUUGGUCUUCGGUGAAUGAAUCAGAAAUUUAUGGAAGAGGCAAGGAGAAAGAAGAACUAGUCAACAUCCUGCUCUCUAAUGCAGACAAUCUCCCUAUUUAUGCUAUAUGGGGAAUGGGGGGACUAGGAAAAACAACACUUGUUCAACUGGUCUUCAAUGAAGCAAGUGUUAAACAGCAAUUCGUUUGAGGAUCUGGGUGUGUGUAUCUACUGAUUUCGAUCUCAGAAGAUUAACAAGAGCCAUCAUAGAGUCCAUUGAUGGUGCCUCUUGUGAUCUUCAAGAAUUGGAUCCCUUGCAACAUGCCUCCAACAGAAAGUUAACUGGAAAGAAGUUUUUGCUUGUAUUGGAUGAUGUGUGGGAUGAUUAUGGUGAUAGGUGGAAUAAAUUGAAGGAGGUAUUAAGGUGUGGGCUAAAGGUAGUGCUGUCAUAGUAACUACGCGUAUUGAGAUGGUUGCUCAGAAUGGCAACAGCUUUUGUCAAGCACAUGGGGAGAUUGUCUGAAGAAGAUUCUUGGCAGUUGUUUCAACAGCUUGCAUUCGGGAUGAGAAGGAAAGAGGAGCGGGCACGCCUGGAAGCCAUUGGAGUAUCAAUAGUGAAGAAGUGUGGUGGUGUUCCUUUAGCUAUAAAGGCACUAGGGAACCUAAUGCGGUUAAAAGAAAGUGAAGAUCAGUGGAUAGCUGUCAAAGAAAGUGAGAUUUGGGAUCUAAGAGAAGAAGCAACGAGAUCUUACCUGCUUUGAGGUUGAGUUACUAAUCUAUCACCACAUUUGAAGCAAUGCUUUGCGUAUUUCGCUAUAUUUCCAAAAGAUCACGUGAUGAGGAGGGAGGAGCUGGUUGCUUUGUGGAUGGCAAAUGGCUUUAUUUCUUGCAGAAAGAAAUGGAUUUGCACGUCAUGGGCAUUGAGAUAUUCAAUGAACUAGUGGGAAGGUCAUUUCUGCAAGAGGUCGAGGAUGAUGGAUUUGGCAACAUAACAUGUAAAAUGCAUGAUCUUAUGCAUGAUCUUGCACAAUCCAUUGCAGUACAAGAAUGCUAUAACAGAAGGCGAUGGGAGUUGGAAAUUCCUAAAACUGCCCGUCAUGUUGCUUUUAUAACAAAUCAGUAGCUUCGUCUUCUAAGUUCUCAAGGUCCUAUCACUUCGCUCACUUCUUUGAGGAAUGAAGAGUAUGGAUGGAUGGGGAAAGAUUCCUGGUCGAAAACAUCGAGCCUUGAGUUUAAGAAUAUCCGGGUGAAGAAAUUGCCGAAGUCAAUUUGUGAUUUGAAACAUCUAAGGUAUCUAGAUGUGUCAGGCUCGAAGAUCAAAACACUGCCUGAAAGUACAACCUCUCUCCAAAACCUCCAGACACUAGAUCUGAGAGAUUGCAAUAACUCAUCCAAUUACCAAAAGGUAUGAAGCACAUGAAAAGUCUUGUCUAUCUUGACAUCGGGUUGUUAUUCACUUCGAUUUAUGCCUUGUGGAAUGGGGCAAUUGAUAUUCCUGCGAAAACUUACCCUGUUCAUUGUGGGUGGGAGAAUGGUCGUCGCAUAAGUGAGCUGGAAGGGCUGAAUAAUCUUGCUGGUGAAUUGAGUAUCACAGAUCUUGUGAAUGUUAAGAAUUUAAAAGAUGCCAAAGUGCCAAUUUGAAGUUGAAGACAGCUCUUUUAUCACUGACUUUAUCUUGGCAGGAAUGGAGAUUACCUUUUUGGCCCUCUGUCAUAUGUGCCACCAGAACAAAGAAAGAGUGUGGAUAUGGAGGUCCUUGAAGGGCUUCAACCUCAUUCAAAUCUGAAGAAGUUGAGGAUAUAUGGAUAUGGAGGUUCAACAUUUCCUAAUUGGAUGAUGAAGCUACCAUAUCUGGUAGAGAUGGAGCUAUCAGCGCACCACUGUGAACAACUUCCACCAUUGGGGAAACUACAGUUCCUCAAGAGUCUUAAAUUAUGGGGAAUGGAUGGUGUGAAGAGUAUUGACAGCAAUGUGUAUGGAGAUGGGCAGAAUCCAUUCCCAUCUUUGGAGACGCUGGCUUUCUAUUCAAUGGAGGGAUUAGAGCAAUGGGCUGCGUGUACUUUUCCUUGCCUUCGAGAUUUGAGGAUAGUCGGUUGCCCUGUGUUGAACGAAAUACCAAUUAUACCCUCCGUCAAAACAUUACACAUCACGGGAGUGAAUGCUUCGUUGCUGAUGUCAGUUAGGAAUCUCACUUCUAUCACCUCCCUUGAUAUAGGAGGGAUUCACGCUAUAAGGGAGCUUCCCGAUGGGUUUUUGCAAAAUCAUACCCUCCUUGAAAGCUUAGAAAUUGGUGGGAUGCGAGAUCUGGAGUCUUUGUCAAAUAGGGUAUUAGAUAACCUUUCUGCUCUUAAAAGCUUGAGGAUUUUUGAAUGCGAGAAACUUGAAAGCUUGCCAGAGGAAGGUCUUCGUAACCUCAAUUCCUUGGAGCUUUUAAGCAUAAAGUAUUGUGGAAGAUUAAAUUGUCUGCCAAUAAAUGGGAUGUGUGGCUUAUCUUCUCUUCGCGAGUUAUCUAUUGGAAGUUGUGAUAAAUUCACAUCUCUAUCAGAGGGAGUGCGGCAUCUGACGACACUUGAGGAUUUGAAGCUUGAAGGAUGUCCAAAGCUGAAUUCAUUGCCAGAGAGUAUCCAACAUCUCACUUCACUCCAAUCUCUAAGAAUAUGGAACUGCGAGGGAUUAGCUUCUUUGCCAAAUCAGAUUGGAUAUCUCACUUCUCUCCAAUCUCUAUACAUUCGGGGUUGUCCAAAUUUGAAGAAAAGGUGUGAGAAAGAUUUAGGCGAGGACUGGCCUAAGAUAGCUCACAUUCCUAGCAUUGACAUUAGAUGAGAAUAAAUUUUAUUUUUUUAGUUUUAAUUUGUUGUAAUUUUUUAAAUAACUUUAUCAAAUUCAUUAUUGUUAUAUUUUUCAUAUAAAUGUGUAAAAAUAAUUGAUUCAUGAUUAUUAUGGGGACAUUGGGGAUUGUGAUAGAUUAUUGUAUAGAGAUUAGACUUUUUGGCAUCGCAUUUAUGGGUAUAAAGAUUUUAUUGUAAUUUCCUUCCUCACAUAUUUUCUUUUGGUGAAAUUGCUUUUAGCUAAAGAUUACAUGAACCACGCUACGCAAACUGGAAAAAAAAAUCUUGGCAUUCAAACAUAUUUUAAAAAACAAGAAAAUGUUGGGAUCUGGAUCAUCAACUCGGCUAGGCUAGAUCAAAUAAGUUUCUCCUAUCUCACAACAUCUUAUGCACCAAACAAAGAAAUCAAAAUAGCGACCAUUUUAAGAAAAAAUAACAUUAAUAAAAAAAUAACAAAAAUACAUUUUAAUCUAACAGGUGUCAUAAAAGAAUUGAGAAUCCAAGGGGAAGAAAUGAUCUAAGCAAACCCCAAGUGCGCUUCUGGACAUGCAACCCAUGUAUAAGAUAAUGAUAAUUUUUUAAAAAUCUUUUAAAAAAUAAAAAAUAGAAUACAAAGCGUAUAAACAGAAAAAAAAAAAAUAUUGUGAUCUUUCUAACACUCUUGAAUGGGCAAUUUUCAUUAUCUCCUCUCGAUGUUCCACCUAAAACAUGUAGAGUGAUUUAACAUGAUGACCCGUUAACAAAAUGCACCAACAAUAAUUUUUAUUUAAAUAUUAUUUUUUAAAUAUCAAACUGGCCCUGUUUUAACCCACAAUUACAAAAUAAUUGAAUUGAAAAGACAAAUAUACCCUUUCACCCUAGUUUAAAAAAUCUUGACUUAAGGAUGUAAUUAAGUAAAUAAAUUGUUCAUUUGAAAAGUAGAAAACGGGCCGGCCCUUGUCUUGACCCAAUGAUUACCAAAAGACCAAAAAAAAAAAUUACGAGUAACCUUAAGAACACAGUUAAAAUAUAUUUGUUUUAAAGGGCAACAAAGUUAAUUCAUUAUGUUUUUUUAAUUAAAAAAUUAUAAUCACCCCUCAAUUGAAGCAAUUUUUAUUGCAUAUCAAGGGCAUCUGAGUCAUUACACUAUAUAAUAUAUAUAUAAAAAUACAUUCUAGAUCCUAAUCAAAUUAAUAAUGAUAGAUAUGUCCAAUUACAAUUGGACCCUGAAAAUAAUGUAAAUGAGUUUUUUAAGGUUAAAAUAAUAAAUAUACUAUUGUCGUCCACAUUUCUCUAAGUUUGUGUGCGCAGUAAAUUCAAAAUUUGUUUUAGUUUUUUUUAUGUAACUUUAUUUUUUUGUUAAUUUUUAAAUAUUUUUGAAUUCACACCUCUUUUAUUUAAUGAAACAGGCCGCAUACUAUUUUCAGAGAUCCGUUUAAGAGGGGCAAUAGCAUCCUUGUGAGUGCAAUUUUGUUCCCUUAUAUCUUUCCACUUGAUAUCGCCACCACAGCUUGAUCUCAUUCUCUCCGAUGUUGAUGUUUAUUGGAUUAGUCAUAUGUGAAGCUUAAACUCAAGAUGUUGUUGCUGAAGGGCUCUGGUAUUUUAUUUUAAUUUUAUCCUAAUCCACCCUUACUUUCUUCAUUCUUUUUUCUUAUAAGAUAACUGCAAAGUGUUUUAUAAUUAUGAUUAAUGAGCAAUCUGAUAAAAAAAACCAGGAAUGACCUUGAGCAAGAAUACAUCUAUUGGUUGGUCUCUUGGUGGUUAUCCUGGUCCUCCGGGACCAUACUACUGUGGUGUUGGUGUUGACGAAGCCUUCGGCAUUGUUGAUGCACAGUAGACGGCAUGCCUGUAUGCCGGUAUGAACAUUAGUGGUAUGAACGGAGAAGUGAUGUCGGGCGAGGUAAAAUAAAAGAACGAGCAUAUCCCCUCUACCAUUUUGAUCUUACAGUUCUAGUUUAGAACCAUUCUAAUCUUGUUCUGUCUUACAACGUUAAAGUGGAAAUUUCAUGCAGUGGAAAUUUCACGCUGGACCUUCAGUCGGUAUCUCUGUUGGAGAUGAAUUAUGGGCUGCAGCUCGGUACAUUCUGGAACUAUUCCCAUUUCUAUUGUUUUCUGAAAUGUCUAUAUUUAUGUUAACAGAGGAUUACUGAGGUUGCUGGAGUUGUGCUUUCAUUCGAUCCUAAGCCAACUCAGGUCAGUUUUUAUUUCAUCGUACCCUACUGGAUGCUGCCAGUGUGCAUGUUUUCAGUACUUUUAUUGUCUGAGCUCUCAGGAAAUUGGACUUCUGUUUUGUCAAGAAGAUUGGAAAGGAGCGGGGGCACACAAAAAUUACAGGUUCAAAUUUUUUUCGUUGAUUGAAGCUUAAUUUAUUUGCUUCUUUGUUCCACACUUGCUAUUUUUUUUUUAAUCUUAUACUUGAAAAUUCUUCACAUUUUCUGUGCUAUGUCUAUGAGAAAUGAAGGAGGCUGUGAAGUCAUCAAGAAAGCAGUUGAAAAGCUUGGUAUGAGGCAUAAAGAACAUAUCGCAGUCUAUGGCGAAAGGGAUUGAGCAGAGACUUGUUAAUUAUUUGGAGACAAACCAUGUCCCACCAUGUGCAAGUGGGAAUCCCCCACUUUGCACACGGUGGAGGCAACGGUGGACACAAAUGAUGAUGUCCUUCCCUCAUCCCUUGUAUAUGUAUAUGAGCUGUGUGUGUGCAUGUAUAACAGUGUGUGAAGAGAAGAAGAGAGAGUUGCAGUUGUGUGAAACACAAAGAGAAACACAUAGAGAGAGCUAGGGAGAGUUGAGUUGAGUUGAGAAGAAUUUUCUCAUCCUCCUUGUUUUGUUGUUUGUAUUGUUUGUAAGCUUGAUUAAUACAAACCAAUAGCUCCGUGGAGUAGGCAAGUUGCCGAACCACGUAAAUUGUGUGUGUUUGAGUUCUGGAAAUAUCCCAACAACUGGUAUCAGAGCUUGUUCUUGACGAAGAGGGUGUUUGAUCCAAACUCAAAAAUCAAUGUUCUCAAAACGUGUUUUUGACCAUACCAUCGUGUAGAGGACAACCGGACGAAUCCACUGGUGAAAACCCGGCGAAGAACCGACGUCCUGCAUGCCCGCACGCGCCACCGCACAGACGGCCCACGCGCAGCAACGCGCCUCACGCGCGACACGCUCCUUCUUCACCCGUUUUUCUGCAAAACGGGUCGGGUCUGACCCGCCACGUCAGCCAAGUCGCACGGUCAACGCCACGUCACCUGCCACGUCAUCCAUCUGGGUUUUGAUCUGGUGCACCGCAGAUGGUAAUCGUCUGACACGUGGCUGCAUCAUCACCGUCGAAGGGUUUGAUCCGGUGCGACUCAGGCUCUAAUCGGAGGACACGUGGACUAAUCUGCACCGUCACUGAGUUUUGAUCCGGUGCGACUAAAGGCUGUAAUCUGCUGACACGUGGCUUCAUCAGAACCGCUACUGAGUUUUUAUCCGGUGUGACGCAUGCCUUACUCUGUCUGACACGCGGCUGCAUCUGAACCGUCCGUUAAUCCAAAACUUUAAUUGCUAAAAUCUGAGCCAUCCAAAGUCCGAUUGGGGUGAUCUCAGUGUCAUUUCCAAGGUUUUUGGCCGUUCCGGACACAUCUGUAAGGUCAGAUUUGGCAAAUUCUAAUCAGAGAAAUAUUAAAAAUGGCAGAUGAAAUAAAGGCUGCAGGAAUUGAAAAAUUUGACGGAACAGAUUUUGGAUACUGGAAAAUGCAGAUUGAGGAUUAUUUAUAUGGGAAGAAACUUCAUCUUCCCUUAUUGGGAAGCAAACCAGAAAAGAUGGAAGAAGAAGAAUGGCAACUUCUUGAUAGACAAGUUCUGGGCAUUAUCCGGCUAUCGUUAUCAAGAAGAGUUGCUCACAAUGUUACGAAAGAAAAAUCCACUGCAAAAUUGAUGGAAGCCUUGUCUGGGAUGUAUGAGAAGCCAUCAGCAAAUAAUAAAGUGCACCUGAUGAAAAAGUUGUUCAACUUGAAGAUGGUCGAAAACGCUUCUGUGACACAACACCUCAACAACUUUAAUACCAUCACAAAUCAAUUAUCAUCUGUUGCGAUUGAGUUUGAUGAUGAGAUUCGUGCACUCAUCUUGCUAGCUUCACUUCCAAGCAGUUGGGAAGGCAUGAGGACAGCCGUGAGCAAUUCAGCUGGAAAAUCCAAACUGAAGUAUGAUGACAUUCGAGACUUGAUUUUGGCUGAAGAAGUGCGAAGGAAAGACUCGGGUGAAAGUUCAAGCUCAGGAUCAGCUCUCAACAUCAACACUCGAGGGAGGAGACACGAUAGAGGCUCAUCCAGAGGCAGAUCAAAAUCCAGAUACAGAAGUAAAAGCAAGUUUGGAUCCAGAAAGCAGGUUGAAUGUUGGAAUUGUGGCAAACCUGGUCAUUUCAGUAGGAAUUGCACAAAACCGAAGAAACCUGAAGUUGACUCUGCAAACGCUACCACAGAUGAGGUACAAGAUGCUUUAAUUCUUGCUGUGCAAAGUCAAAUUGAUGAGUGGAUUCUUGAUUCUGGUGCUUCAUUCCACUGUACGCCACACAAUGAAAUACUGCAAAAUUAUGUUGGAGGAGAUCAUGGUGUAGUCUAUCUGGCCGAUGGAACACCACUGAAGAUUGUGGGUAUAGGAGAUGUGCAAAUCAAGACAAUGAAUGGACCUUGUAGAAUGUAAGGCAUGUUCCUGAAUUAAAGAAGAAGUUGAUCUCUGUCGGACAACUUGAUGAUAGUGGUCAUUCAAUACUUUUUGCUGGAGGAAUGUGGAAAGUAUCAAAGGGAGCAAUGGUUUUAGCUCGUGGAAAGAAAACCGGCACCCUGUAUAUGACCACAAGAUUUGCAGACAUCAUUGCCUCAACUGAAGCAGAAAAUCAAGCACAUCUAUCGCAUUGUAGACUUGGCCAUAUGAGUCAAAAGGGGAUGAAGAUAUUUAGUCGAAGGGAAAGCUGCCAGAGUUAAAAAAUGUCGAUCUAGACAUUUGUGAAAGCUGUGUUCUUGGAAAACAGAAGAAGGUCAGUUUCUUGAAGGUUGGCAGGACCUUACGACCAAGAAAGCUAGAACUGGUACACACAGAUUUAUGGGGACCGUCUCCAGUAGCAUCUCUUGGAGGUUCUCGGUAUUAUGUGACUUUCAUUGAUGACUUCAGCAGGAAGGUAUGGGUUUACUUUCUGAAAAAUAAAUCUGAUGUGUUUGAAACAUUCAAGAAAUGGAAGGCUAUGGUUGAGACUGAAUCAGGUCUAAAGUUGAAAUGCUUGAGAUCUGAUAAUGGAGGAGAAUACAUUGAUGGAGGUUUCAAGGAGUAUUGUGCUGUCAAUGGUAUCAGAAUGGAAAAGACCGUUCCAGGCACACCGCAACAGAAUGGCGUUGCUGAACGGAUGAACAGGACCAUCAAUGAACGAGCUAGAAGCAUGAGGUUGCAUUCAGGGUUACCUCAAACAUUCUGGGCUGACGCAGUUCAUACCGCAGUUUACUUGAUCAACCGUGGACCAUCAGUUCCUUUGGAAUUCAGAUUGCCCGAGGAAGUAUGGAGAGGAAAAGAGGUACGACUCUCUCAUUUGAAGGUCUUUGGGUGUGUUUCCUAUGUUCACAUAGAUUCUGAUGCUCGCAACAAGUUAAGCCAAAUCCAAGAAAUGUUUCUUCAUUGGCUAUGGAGAUGAAGAAUUUGGAUUUCGGUUCUGGGAUGAUCAGAAUAGAAAGAUUAUCAGAAGCAGGAACGUGAUCUUCAAUGAGAAAGUUAUGUACAAAGACAGAUCAAGUGAGAAACAGAGAUGGCUGAUUCAGAUACAAGUCCACAAAGAUCUGAAUUCAUAAGAUUAGAAGGGCUUCCCGAUGUUACUAAGCAGAACAACAAUCAAGAGUCUUUACAAGAAGAUUCAAGCACAUCUGUGCCCACUUCCACACAAGAAGAUGCGGAGCAAUUGAACCAGCUGUUCGCAGGUCUUCGAGGACGAUAAAGCCCCCGCAACGGUUCACACUUUUACUGAAUUAUAUUUUGCUGACAGAUGGUGGUGAACCGUUACUUAUGAAGAAUCCUUACAAGAUGGAAACUCAAGCAAGUGGGAGUUAGCCAUGAAGGAUGAGAUGAGUUCGUUGCUGAAGAACAAGACUUGGGAGCUAACACAUUACCUGAAGGAAAGAAGGCCUUGCAAAAUAAGUGGGUUUACAGAGUGAAGACUGAGCAUGACGGAAGCAAACGGUUCAAGGCAAGACUUGUUGUCAAAGGGUUUCAACAAAGAAAGGCAUUGACUACUCUGAGAUUUUUUCUCCAGUUGUGAAGCUCACAACAAUCAGAGUUGUUCUGGGGAUAGUAGCUGCAGAAAAUUUACAUCUUGAACAGUUAGAUGUAAAAACAGCAUUCCUUCAUGGUGACUUGGAGGAAGAUAUUUACAUGCAACAGCCAGAGGGGUUUGCAAUGCAAGGAAAGGAGAAUCAAGUCUGCAAGCUACAGAAAAGCCUAUACGGUUUGAAGCAAGCUCCAAGACAGUGGUACAAGAAGUUUGACAACUUCAUGUGCAGUUCCGGGUAUACAAGAUGCCAAGCUGAUCAUUGUUGCUAUGUCAAACAUUUUGACAACUCCUACAUCAUUCUACUAUUAUAUGUAGAUGAUAUGUUGAUUGCAGGAUCCAGCAUUGAGGAGAUUGAUAAGCUGAAACAGCAGUUGUCGAAACAGUUUGAAAUGAAGGAUCUGGGAGCUGCUAAACAAAUACUUGGCAUGAGAAUCAUCAGAGAUAAAGACAAAGGCAUACUAAAGCUCUCACAAACAGAGUAUGUCAAGAAGGUUCUCAGCAGGUUUAGUAUGGAUAAUGCUAAACCAGUAAGUACACCACUGGGGAAUCAUUUCAAGCUCAGCAAAGAUCAGUCACCAAAACUGAGCUAGAAAGUGGAUACAUGGAUAAGAUUCCAUACGCCUCAGCUAUCGGCUCUUUGAUGUAUGCUAUGGUCUGUACCAGACCAGACAUUGCCCAUGCAGUGGGAGUUGUAAGCCGAUAUAUGAGCAAUCCUGGAAAGCAGCAUUGGGAGGGUGAAAUGGAUCAUGAGGUACUUAAAAGGUUCAUCGGAAACUUGUCUCAGUUUCACAGCUGGUGGUUUGAAACUUGAAGGUUUUGUAGAUGCUGAUCUAGCAGGAGAUGUUGAUAGCAGAAAGAGCACUACAGGAUAUGUUUAUACUCUAGGAGGUACUGCUGUUUCCUGGAGUUCUACCUUGCAAAAGAUCGUUGCUCUUUCAACAACAGAAGCUGAAUAUGUUGCAGUCUCAGAAUCUGCAAAAGAGAUAGUAUGGUUGCAGAGUUUCUUGAAAGAAUUGGGCAAGUUGAAUGGAAAAGGUACUUUGUAUAGCGACAGUCAGAGUGCAAUCUUCCUUGCCAAGAAUCCAGCAUUUCACUCCAGGACGAAGCAUAUUCAGAUCAAAUAUCACUUCAUCCGACAACUGCUGGACGACGAGCAACUAAUGCUAGAAAAGGUCUGUGGAAGCAAGAAUCCAGCAGACAUGUUAACCAAAGGAGUUACACUUGAGAAACUGAAGUUGUGCAAAACUUCAGUUGGCCUUCAAGGAUAAAAGAUAAUUUCAUUGUUUGUCUCCAAGUGGGAGAUUGUUAAUUAUUUGGAGACAAACCAUGUCCCACCAUGUGCAAGUGGGAAUCCCCCACUUUGCACAUGGUGGAGGACACAAAGUGGAGGCAACGGUGGACACAAAUGAUGAUGUCCUUCCCUCAUCCCUUGUAUAUGUAUAUGAGCUAUGUGUGUGCAUGUAUAACGGUGUGUGAAGAGAAGAAGAGAGAGUUGCAGUUGUGUGAAACACAGAGAGAAACACAUAGAGAGAGCUAGGGAGAGUUGAGUUGAGUUGAGAAGAAUUUUCUCCUCCUCCUUGUUUUGUUGUUUGUAUUGUUUGUAAGCUUGAUUAAUACAAACCAAUAGCUCCGUGGAGUAGGCAAGUUGCCGAACCACGUAAAUUGUGUGUGUUUGAGUUCUGGAAAUAUCCCAAGACUUACCGGACAGCGGCACGAAACAGAGGAUAUUAGUACUUUCAAUUGGGUAAGAGGGAAAAGAAACAAUUUCCUUGCUGCUUAAGUUCUUUUAUUAUAAGAUGUCUUACAUUAGUUUCUUUACAUCUUGUUCGAUUGACAAGGUUUUGCUAAUCGCAAAGCUUCCAUUUGUGUUGGCCGUGACAUAGAGAAAGAAGGAAAGGGGUAUUAUGAGGAAAUAAGGCCUGCUUCAAACAUGGAUCUAUAUCUUGCGACUUCCAUGAUUGUAGAAACCACCAUCCUGUGGAAGCCAUGAGAAUCUCAAGCAACACCUCAAACAAAAUAAUGUUGUUGGAAGUAGUACUUACAAGGAACCUUGGAAAGAUUUGUGUCAGUAGGAUGGAUAUCUUUCAAUUUGUUUCCAGUUGUAUUUGAGGCUGCAAGGGAUGUUAUUCCUUUGCUUGCUUGUCUUAUGAUUGAUUCGGCAUUUUGUGUUGAAUAAUGAAAUCUUAACUUUAAUCAUGUGAUGUUUUGUAUUAAAAAGAUUGGAAAAUAAAAUAAAGCCCUUGGAAGCUUAAAAAGAGGGUAUAAAUGAUUGAAGGGUAGUGUGGUAAUUGACCAAUAGUUGAUAAAUAUAAAUAAGAAAAAAAAAAAGAAUGAUAUGAUUUUGAGAGAAAGAGAGCUGCGGGAGAGAAAGGAAAAGAGGAAGAAGAAGAGAAGAAAAGAAAGGAGAGAAGGAAAGGAAGGAGAAGAGAAGUAGAUGAUAUAAGUAAAAAGGUAAGAUUUAUAGUUUUAAGUGUAUAAUAUGUUAAAUUUCGGUUUUGAUUAAUUUUGAGAGUUUUGAAGUUUGUAUUUUGAGUUAAUUGAUGAAUUAAUUUGAAGGUUAGGAGUUGAUUAUUGUGGGUAUUUGAUUAAUUAGUUGAUUUUGAGAGAUUGAAUUGAAGGAUAAUGAUUUUGAGUUAUGAUUUUGUUUAAAUGGGGAAAUUGUGUUAGAAAUCAGGGGAUAACAGUAGGUAAUCUGUUUAAAUUCUGGGUUUGAGGUUGAAGAUGACGAAAAUUCAAUUUGGUCCCUCAAUUUGCGGAAAUUGCAGUUUAGUCCCCGAACUUUGGAAAUUUUACAGAUUGGUCCCUGGGACAUAAAUUGAGGUUCUGAAAAGAACUGAGGAUGAUUUAAGGGCAAAAUUCCAGUAUAAUUAAUAUUUUCAGUUUGGUCCUCCAAUUUGACAAAUUACGAUUUGACCCCUAAUAUUUUGAUAAAAUCACAUUUUGGACCUUGGGGCAUAAUUCAAGAUUCUGGACAAAGAUAAGGACGAAUUAUGGAUAAAUUUCAGUAUGGAUAUAUAUUUACAAUUCGGUCCUCAAAUUUUGGUAAAAUUACGUUUUGGUCCCUGUUUUGGAAAAUUGUCGUUUUAGUCCCUAAACCUAGGAGAUUAAGCCCGGUUUUAUUUUAUGCAUUGGGAUCUUUUGUUUGAUUUUUUUUUGAGUAUAUUUCAUAUAUUUAUUGUACGUUCUCCUAACGAUCCUUAAUCGGAUUUUCUGGUCUUUUGCCUGACAUUCCUUUAGUUUAGUAUUUUCCGGGUGAGUGGAAUAAUAUUUAAUAUGCAUAUAAUAUAAAUAAAUAUGUAUGUUGAUUAUACAAUGAGUACAACUAGUAAAUUUAUUGAAUAUUUAUAUAUGUUGCUUUAUUUUCCGAGUACUCAUUUAUUCUUGAAUUUGCACUCGCAAUCUGAUAAAGUAAAUUCUAUUUGAUAUGAUAUACGUUUCUUUGAUGAUUCUGUGAAUAUCUAUUAUGCCUUGAUAUGGGACUUGUCAGUAACUCCAUGCUAAUGGAGAAUAGUUAGCAUGUGUGCACAUAGUAUUCUGUAUACCUAGCUGGUGAGAGAGGCAUCAGCCUAUGGCGAUUGAUCAUCCCACAGUGGUCACCGACGGGUGUCAUCUGGUCACCGACGGGUGUCAUCUGGUCACCUACGGGUGUCAUAUGAUCUCUGACAUGUAAUCCACUACGUUAUGAUAAUAUGUUACGUUAUGAUAUUAUGUUUAGUAAGUAUAUGUAUAUGUAUAUCACUACAAGAUUUUACAGUUUUACCGACGGAAAUAUUCCGUCGGUGUGUGACAGAACAUUCGUCGGUAAAGUAUUUACCGACUAUAUUACCGACGGAAUACACCCGUCGGAAUACCUUUUGUCGAUGAUUCCACAUUCCGUCGCCAUAUCGGUCGAUAAUACAAAAAAAACAUUUACCGAUGGUUUUACCGACGGACUGUGCGCGCCAAAAAAAAAAAAAGUUUCCCGCUUGGAAUAUACCGACGGAAAAUAUUCCGUCGGUGUUAUGUAAAUACCGACGGACUAUCUCCGUCGGCAAAAGUGUCGGUGAUAUUUCGUACCGACCGAAUAAAUCCGUUUGUAAAUUUGUCGGUAUUUUUAUACCGACGGAUUAUCUCUGUCGGUGAAUAUGUCGGUGAUGGGAUGGAAUACCGCAGACACUGUCCAAUGCCGACGGAUUGUUUCCGUCGGUAAAUCCCUGUGUAAUUUUUUUUUUAAUUAUUUAAAAAAAAUAAUAUAAAUUAAUAGUAAUACAAACCAAUUAUGCAAAUAAAAUUUAUAUUAAGCAACAAAAACUCAAAGUUAAAUAAUAUUCAUUACAAAAUGAAUGUGUUUAAAAAAAAACAAUUAAUAUAAAGGAGGAGGAGGAGGGUGGGGGUUAGGCGGCCAAAAAGGAUUAGGCGCACAUGUUCCACCUUGUGUCAUGUUCAUGACCAUUUGACGAAGCUCUUCAUAGGCCGCUCUUUGUUGUUCAGACUCUGCUCUGCGUUGUUCGUCCGCCAAUUUGUGUUGUUCGUUCGCCAAUCUUUGCUCUUCUUUGAGUUGUGUGUACGCCUCUGAUAGAUGGUCGCACCUUUGCUGCAAGGCCACAAACUCCUUAGAUUGGGAGCUCGAUACAGAUUGGGAGCUCCCACCGGUUGAAGCAGUACCGGUCGACCGCAACUUGGCGGCGGUAGUGUUGGAGAGCCCGUAAACCCGAUUUUUAUCGGGUCCACCUGACGAUCCAGCCUCCAUCCACAAAUCCGGAUCGAAUUCCGGAUGGUUCGAAGGAUCGUCCCCGUAUCUCUCCCUCAACCGAUUAUUAUAGGUCUCCUGAAAAAAAACAAAACAAAUAAUCAUAUUCAAUUCAAUAAACAUGAUAAUAACUUAUAAAAUAAAAUGGUUGAACAAACACACCACAAACUGUUGAGCACGGUUGUCAACGAACUGUUGCGUCCCCUUUUGGCGGUCAUGACUCCGCACGUACGUCUCCACAAACAGCUCCAUAGGGCUCGGCUCACGUCCAAGAGACGUAGCCUAUAUAUAAUGAAAAAAAUGUAUUAACAACAAAUUAAUUGAACGAUAUAUUUCAUUUAAAUUAAUCUUACCAUCCAUUUCGCAUGUGCAGCAAACGGAGCCGUCGGUGUGCGUUGUAACCGAGCCAUGAAUUUGCCGAUUCCGGUUGUCGGCACCGGACUGUGAGCGUCGAGUGAACCGCUCAGACGUCACGUGCUGAAGAUAGUGCGGCCAUAUAUCUUCCGGGAUGUAUAUUGGUUUGAAAUCCCUCCAAACCGCAACAUCGUUCCAACCUUGUAACCCCUUAUCCCUCGCUGUUUUUUUUGCUUUUUUCUGGGCGUCAUACCAAAAAUCACGCAACCUAAUUCACGCACGAAAAAAUUACAUUUCGAAACAUAAAUAAUUAUGUAAAAAAAAGUCGUAUUGUUUUCGAUGUUACCUAAUUGCCGCGUGAUUUUCCCACACCCUCCUCACAACAGUGUCAUGUUCAUCAUCCCAGCAGAAUCGAUGUUGUAUAUAAAAAAAUAAUUUUUUAAAAUGUUAAUAAUUUAUUUACAAUUAUAACUUGAAUUUAUUAGAAAUAAGCUGAAAAUUAUAUAUUAACACGAACCUCAAAUCUACGAAACCAUGUAUUGAUUUGAGGCAUCCAUUCAGGAUGUCUGGAUAUAUGACUCCAUUGAAACAAUGGAAUCUCCAUCGACGCUUUAAACGCCGAUGAUAUUAAUCGGGCGACCUCAAUGUUUGUGAACCUGAAAAGAAAUGAAAUUAAUUUGUGAUUACUUCAUAAAUUAUGUUUUAAAUUUGUUUUUUUUUAUAUAAAAAAAACUAAAACCUUAACAAACUUACAUUGAAAGAUCGUCCUUCCACUGUGCCUCGAACUGGUGGGUAAAUUGAUUCCGCUUCGAAGGCAUGCCGCGUCUGCGAUGUGAAACAUCGCUGGAAGAGGCAGCAUCGGUUGACGGCCCAGGUGGUGUAGGUGCCUCUUCUUGAGAGGCACCUAAGGAAACAUCAUCAUCGCUGCUAGACGAACUUGAUUCGACUGGACGACCAGCUCUGGUUUUCAUUUUGCGCAUCUAAACAAUUUUAUAUUAAUAAUUGUAUAAUAAAAUUCAAAAGUUAAAAAAAAAUCGGCAGCACCUCCCCUAUACUGGAUACUACCCAAAUCCACAAACCUGCAAAUAUUAACAAUAGCCACAACCAAUCGAACCAAUCUAUAUGACAAAAAAUAUAUUCAAUAAUUAUAUUCAAAACAAUAAAAAAUAUGACAAAAAAUAAAUUCAAUAAAUUCAACAAAUUAUAAUUCAACAAAUUAAUCAUUUUAAUUCAACAUUAACAAUUAUAAUUCAACAAAUUAAUCAAUAAUUAUAUUCAAAACAAUAAAAAAUAUGACAAAAAAUAAAUUCAAUAAAUUCAACAAAUUAUAAUUCAACAAAUUAAUCAUUACAAUUCAACAUUAACAAUUAUAAUUCAACAAAUUAAUCAUUAUAAUUAUGACAACAAAACAAUAAAAAAUAUUCAAAAAAAAAAACCUACAUCAAUAAAAGGAACGAAAUAAACAUACCUUAAUAAUGUGACAAAUUCAAUCACCGAUGGAAUUAAUAUCCGUCGGUAAAAGGUAAAAAUUCCGUCGGUAACAGGUCAAAAAUCCGUCGGUAUUUUUUGAAUUUCGCCCCGAAUUUUUAAAAGCCCUCCAUAUUUUUCACAGUCCGUCGGUGAUUCCGUCGGUAAUCUGACAAGUUCAGAGGCGCAUUAAUUCACACACUUUGGAAAUCGCGCGGUCCGUCGGUAUUUCUGUCGGUAAUAUGUGUGACCGACAAAUUACCGACGGACCUAUUCUGUCGGUGAACCCGUCGGUGAUUGUGGCAUUUUGUUCUAAAUAUUUUCGAGCUUACUGUGAGAUGCCGACGGAAUGGUUGUCCGUCGGUAAUGUCGUCGGUGAGUGUGGCAUUUUAUUGUAAAUAUUUUAGAACUCUCUGUGAGAUACCGACGGAUGGUUGUCCGUCGGUAUUGACGUCGGUGAUUGUGGCAUUUUGUUGUAAAUAUUUUUGAACUCUCUGUGAUAUACCGACGGAUGGUUGUCCGUCGGUAUGGACGUCGGUGAUUGUGGCAUUUUGCAGGAAAGGUUGUCUUUGUAUUGCAUGUUUACCUUCCUGCAAUAACUUAACUGAUAAACUGUCUAUCACAUAAAACAAUAACCACAUUGCUUAAACAAUAAAUAUUUUGUUUUACAAAAUACAUCAUCAAUAAUCUAAAUUACAUGAGACAAAUGUUUUUACAUAGGGCUUCAUUUUCAUAAUUAGUCGGAAUUUUCUUCUUCUUCCUCGUCAAUUGAAUUGUCAUCAUCUUCAUCGCAAUCUUCAAUAUGGAUAUCAUCUUCUUCAUCGACAUUUGCUUGUUCGCUAGAGCUGAGAACAACAUUCAACUCCUCUCCGUCAAUAUCAACAAGACUAUCAUCGAGAACUCGAAAAUUUGAAUUUUCUUCCAAUUCAAUCGAAGGAGCAACUCGAUAUGGUUCAACCAACUCACGAACUUGAAAGACUUCAUCUCGCACACUUGUGUCUUCGUUCUCAUCCUGAACAACCUCGACACGACCCCGUGGUUUCGUUUUUAAAACGGACAACCAAUCAACUCUUGAACGAUCCUUUCUAAAUGAAGGGGUGUAUGUGUAAUAAAUUUGUUGACAUUGCUUUGCGAAAACAAAGACAUCAUUUAUGUUGCGGAGUCUAGCUUUUGAGUUGAUUUCGACCAGACCAUGGUGCAGAUCAACUUUGAUUCCUCAGUUCGUCGUGUCAUACCAAUAGCAUUUGAAUAAAAACACUUUAUUCUGCUCGCUAUGAUAUUGCAGUUCGACGACCUCUUCUAAUCUACCAUAGUAGUCAACUUCUAACUGGCUACUUGUGGAUCCCUUAACACAAACACCGCAGUUGUAUGUCUUUCUUCCUUGCCCGUAUUCUUCAGUAUGGAAAACAUAUCCAUUGACAAAAUACCCGUUGUAGCACUUAACUUUUCUUUCAGGGCCGAGGCUUAGUGAAGACAAUGACUUGGGCGCACUCCUUCCCAUUUGAUAAACCUUGUAAAUAUAUGUAAUUAAAUGUACAUCAAUACACGGUAAAUGAACGAGAAUCUCGUAAUGACAUGCAUACGUUAGAAUGAGUUUGUGAUAGUGCUUACAUGUGUUCUGAACCAUGUGGCAAAUUGUUCAUCUUGUAAUUGAAAGAUCUGGGAUUCGGUCAGCUGCGAGUUAUUGGAGAGCAAAUAUUGUCGAUGUUGCCUGCAAGUGAUAAUGAGUGUAUGAUAUUACAAUAUAUAAUUAACAGUAUAUUACUGACAAAGUUUAAUUAGUAUUACACAUAUAUAGACUUACUGAAUAAAUGGUCUCAGCUCAUCACAGUUAAAUAGAACAUAGUUGUGUGCUUGUUUGAAUUCUAUUUCCGACAAAUAUCUUCCUCUUACGGCAUUUUUAGGUGUGGGUCGUCCAGUAUUGGAGAAUAUUGACAAGUUCCCACUGGAAGGCACUUCACCGCCAUCGUCAUGCCGUGGAACGCGAUUGAUUCUUGUUCUCAGAUGAGGUUCGAAAUAGUACGAGAUAAAUGUUGAUAUCUCUUCAACAAUAUAGGCCUCAGAUAUCGAAGCCUCAACAUGCGCCUUGUUCUUAACCUUUUUUUUUAGAUUAAACAAGUACCUGCAUUGAAGUACAAUUCAAGUAUUUUCAAAUAAGAAAAACAUAGAAAAUACUUUAAGAUAUGAAUUCCAUUGCAACUGUAAUAUCUCACCGUUCGAAUGGGUACAUCCAUCUAUACUGGACCGGUCCUCCAGCUUUUGCCUCGAACGGUAGAUGUAUAGGGAGAUGCUCCAUUGAGUCAAAAAAUGAAGGAGGGAAUAUCAUCUCAAGUUUGCAUAGUGUCUCGAUGAUAUUCGUUUGAAGCAUCUCAAUGUGCUCAACAUUCAUCUUGCUGGAGCAUAUAUCUCUGAAGAAAUGACUGAUCUCCGUUAGUGCAUCCCAUAUUCCCUUUGGCAACAAAUCACGAAAAGCUAAUGGGAUGAGUGUUUGCAUAAACACGUGGCAGUCAUGGCUCUUCAUUCCAUACAAUCUGCAGUCCUCUAUGUUAACAAGCCUUGAUAUGUUCGAUGCAUGUCCAUCCGGGAAACGCAGACUCUUAAGCCAUUUGUAGACUAGCAGUUGUGCGUUUUUCUCUAACACGAAGCUUGCCCUUGGUUUUGCAACCCGUGACUCGUCAUAAACCAACUCCAUAUUUUUACGGUUACAGUAUAAAGCUAUAUCCAAUCUAGCCUUCAUGUUGUCCUUUGUCUUCCCCUUCACAUCCAUGACGGUGUUGAAAAUAUUCUCAAACACGUUCUUUUCGAUGUGCAUGACGUCAAGGUUAUGGCGGAGAAGAUUAGUCUUCCAAUACGGAAGCUCCCAAAAGAUACUUCGCUUUACCCAAUUAUGGGUCAAACCAAAACCAGGAAACUUUUGCUUACCUGAUUGAAGGCCAAACACAAUGUCACCGUACUCUGAUACAACAUGAUGCAAUUCUUCACCAGAAAGACGCGGGGAUGCAACAUCUUUUUCAACUCUACCAACAAAGAAAUCUUUUCUGUUCUUUCUGAACCUGUGAUUAAGUGGCAAGAAGCGACGGUGACAGUCAAAAAAAGAAGCUUUACCUCCGUUUGCUAGCGUGAAUGCCUUGUUGUUUUCCAUGCAGUAUGGACAUGCGAGUUUCCCAUGCGUGCUCCAACCAGAAAGCAUUCCAUAAGCUGGAAAAUCACUGAUAGUCCACAUCAAAGCCGCCCUCAUAAGGAAAUUUUGUUUCCUCGAUAUAUCAUAAGUCAGAGAUCCGGAGGACCACAACUGCGCCAGCUCAUCUAUCAACGGUCGAAGACAAACAUCUAUAUUCCGCCCCGGGCUGCUUGGACCGGGUAUGACAGUAGAUAGAAACAUGAACUCCGGCCUCAUACACAUUCCCGGUGGCAAGUUAUAAACUGUGAGAAUGACCGGCCAACAAGAAUAGGGAGCAGCAAAUGACCCAAAUGGGUUGAACCCGUCUGUACACAACCCAAGUCGAACAUUCCUUGAUUCAGCAGAAAAGUCAGGAUGAACACUGUUAAAGCGUUUCCACGCUUCGCCGUCAGAAGGAUGCACCAUCACACCAUCAACGACAUCGUGUGUUUGGUGCCAUGUCAUGUGCUCAGCAGUCCUUGGUGACAUAAAUAACCUCUGCAGUCUAGGUGUGAUCGGAAAUAUCUAAGUUUUUUAUGCCACUAGAGUCUUCCCCCUGCCAGUUCUGGGUUUGUAACGGGAAUGCCCGCAUGUCAUGCACUCGGUCAUCUCAGCAUUUUCAAGGUAGUAUAACAUGCAGAAGUUAGGGCACAUGUCAAUUUUCUGGUAUCCUAAACCGAGGGGUUUCAUCAUGGACUUCGCAGCAUAGAAGUUCUCUUUGAGCCUGUUCCCUUCUGGUAAAAUGCUUCUUGCCCAAUCAAUAAUUUUGUCAUACCCGGCCUCACUCAACCCGUGAUCUGACUUGAUGGUGAACACCUGUGCCACGCCGAUAAUUUACUGUGGUUUGUGCAGCCAUCCCAUAAUGGUUCGUCAGAAUCUUUCAACAAAUCAAAAAACCUAGCUGCCUCUGCAUUAGGUUCUUCUUCUACGAUUGGACAUUGAUUGACAUUAUCUUGAUUCAUUCUCAUUGCAUCCAUAACCAUGUUUCUGUAAGGAUUAGUGUUGUCAUUUGCCGCUUCAUGCACGUUGCUAGCACUAGAAGUUGACCCAACCACCGUUUCUCCCAUUCUCCUAUUACUAACAAAUACCUCUCCAUGUGCAUACCAACACUCGUAAUCCUCCACAAACUCUUUAUGUAGAAGAUGCAUCAUUACAACAUCUAGAUGCAGAUACUUUUUAUUUUGACACUUCCUGCAUGGACACCUAAUACCGCCUCCAGUAAAAUUUCUGGGAAUAGAUGUUGCGAAAUUAAUAAAACCCUGAACCCCGUUACAAUAAUCCAUCAUCUGCAAUCCUUGGGGUGAAUCUAGAUACAUCCAUGAACGAUCAUCCAUGACUUCUAUCGAACCUCUAUAAAAAGGACCCAUUAAUUAAGCAAGCUCUUAAUUAUUUCAAAACAUAACAUGUAAUUCGGUAAUUCUACAAAUUAAGUUUUAACAAUUUUCAAACAAAUACAAUCUUACAAAAUCUAAAACAAACCAUAACAAGUAUAAAAUUAUACAUUCAUAUACUACAAGUUUGUUUGAGAAAUAACAAUAAAACAUGUACAUCUACUAAAAAAUAAUAAUACAUAUACUAAAAAAAAAAUUUGACAUUUAAAUGUUAAAAUUUUAAAAGAUAGAAUUACUUACAAAAAAUGAUAAAAUCCGUCGGUAAAUCAGAACACGGAUGCUGUGACCACAAAACAAAUACAACUUGUUGUGCUGAGAUGAGGAAGAUUUUUGUUUUGGGGCGAGGGGGGUGGUUAUUUUGCAGAUGGGGAGGGUUAGGAUUAGGAAGAAGAAGGAGAAAUGGGGGAGGAGAGUGUCGGCAGAGUGGCCAUAUAUUCACUUUUGCUGACGGACUUACCGACGGUUUGGAUUCCGUCGGUGAAUCCGUCGGCAAAACCGUCGGUAAUUCUGACGGGCAAUCGACACGUCACCGCACGGACCUGCUAUUCAAAUCCCUCGGUGAUUCCGUCGGUAUUUUUAACGGUGCACCGGUCACGUCACCGGUACGGAUCUGGCAUUUCAAAUCCGUCGGUGAUUCCGUCGGUAUUUUUUGACGGUGAACAGGUCCCAUCACGCGUACGGGCCCCAGUUUUAAUUCCGUCGGUGAUUCCGAAAAUCACCCGCCAAAACCUCGCGCCACUGCCCGCCCUUUUUUCAUUAAUUCUGAAUUUUCGGUCGGUAAUUACCGACGGAUAGUCCGUCGUAAUUACCGACCGAAUUACCGACGAAAUAUUCCGUCGGUGAGUUCGACCGAAAAAUACCGACAGAAAAAAUUCUGUCGGUGAGUCCGUUGGUAUUUAGCGAAUUUCUGGUAGUGUAUGUAAAUCAAGAUAAAUCAUCUUGCAAAUAAUAUUAUUAAUAUCUGAAAUGUAUAUUAAAUGUUAUUCCCUCACUGAGUUGGUUGAACUCACCUCUCAUUUUUAAUAUUAUUUCAGGUUCUUAGUUUCUGGGACUUUGUUGAGUGUUUCCGCUUCUUCAGUUCUGGUCGGUAUGCCUUGCUUGUUCGCGAGGCUUUCCUUUUAGUUUUGAUUUGAUAUCUUAGACGCUCCACUGUUACCUUGGUUUAAUUAAAUUUGGAUUUUGACAAUGUAAUGAGUAUUAUGAAUUAUUAUUUUUGUUUUAAUAACUAUCUUUCGGUUUCAUCAGUAUUUGAAUAAUAUAAUAUUUCUGAAUAUUAUGAGCCGCUGCGUAUUUUUGAACAAAUUAUUCUUUUGAUAUGUCCGUUCUGAGGCUUAGCCUAGGUGAGGUGUCCUUUCGACACCACUCCUACGUUGCCGGUCACGAAUCCGGGAUUCGGGUCGUGACAAAUCACCUUAUGGAUACCCAGAUUUCCAGUGCCUGGAAAUGGUUUAAAAAGAUUUUGUUUUGAGGUAAUGCAAAUCACAUCUCUAGUUGUUACUGGAUUUAAUAAAGUUACUUUAUACAGUUGAAAUUACUCGCUGCUUUCCUCUUGAAUCAUUAAUCCUAAAUGAUUAAUCAUGGAUAGUUUAAUAUAUCAGUGAAACUAGAUCAUUGACCGAGCUCGUACAGGCUAUACUAAAAAUUUUAUAAACAAAAAAAUAUGUAAGGAUUGAUAAUGUAUUUUUUUGUCAAACCGAAAUGUAAAACCAAAGGGGAAAAAAAUAAAAAAAAUUUAUUCAUUUUUCUUCCUAUUACGUUGAGCACCCUUAAAGUAAUCUGCAAUUGUCAAAGAACCUGAAUACAUAAUAUGAUUUCAGAACUCGUAUCUGUGUCCCAUGAACCCAUGGUUAUAAAUUUCAACGUUAGCAAAAAUUAUAUUCAAUUAUUAUUUUUUAAAUAUAUAAGUUUGAUAGUGAUUUUAUAUUUUAUUCUACACUAGCACGCGGGUUUGGCAAGCGCCGGAAAAAUCAAGGUGGAAUGUUAAGCGUGCUCCUGUAAUUCGGUAAUAAUUUUAGUUAAGCUCUCUAAUUAUUUACUUGUAAUUACAGUAAUUUUGUUUUCCUAAUUACCUGCUCUCUUCUAGUGCUUCUGAUUGAAAUUGAGUUAGGAGUUGAAGACCCUUAAGUGCAUUGGAUUGCCCAUCUAGAAGUUGUUUCUGUUUAUCCAAAGACUUCCCAGCCAUGUUCUCAAUGUCAUCAGCUGUGUUUUGUAAAGUUUCCAUCUUUGAAGACAUUGUGUCUCCAACUCUGCCAAUCUGCUUCUCUAUUUCCACAGCUUCGUUUCUCACAUUGUCUACUUCUUGGCCCAGAUUGGUGUAAGCAUCAUGAAGCAUCGACAUCCCUUCCUUCAAAUUGUCAUUCAUUUUUGCUUGUCCCUCUUGCAGCUCUGAUUGAGAAUGUGCAAUUUCCUUGGAAUGCUUAUAAACAGCUUCAGAGUGCUUAGAUAAAACAUCCAUGUGAUCCUUUGCAUCUUUCGUUGUUUGAGCUACAUUUUCAACCUGAAUAUCAAUAGAACUCAAUGAAUCCUGAAUUUGAUUCGAUCUCUGCAACAGGACAUGUGUUUUUCCUCCAAUAAUUUCUAACUGUUCUUCCGUGUAUUCUGCUGAAUUUUUAAGAUCAUUCACCAGUCUCUCCAUUUUAUGGUUGAAGGCAUGGGCCCUGUAGGCAAUAGCACAUAAAAAAAUCCUUGUUAGUUUCUGUCACAUCGUAUAAAACAAGAGAAGAACGGUCAGAACAGUGAAAGAAACUAUACUUAACUGUCACUGAUAGCAGAUAGAAUUGGUUUCCAGUGAGAAUUCAAGAUAAACCUUGUGCUCAUUGUCAUUCAACCUUUUGAGACAAUUAACCAUGGCAGAUUUUGUGUCACAAUAAGGGAAAGCUGGCCGUCCAGAGUCCUUUUGAAAGCAAUCACUAAGGUGCCAAGCAAAUCUCCACCGCUUCUCCUCGACGGCGAGAAUCUGCGAGCAGCCGGCAAAGAGAUUCUGGUAAGCAUUCUGCCAACAAGAAUUCGUGCCAACCAUUUUACUUUCGGCUUUUUCGACCAGUUUCAUCCCCUUCCCAUCACUAAGACCAUUCAUAGAAAAUUCCACCACAGAACCACGGGGCAAACCGUUUGUCUGUGAAUUAUCAUGGAGAGAGUCUCUGUUGAAGAAGAGAACCAACCCCAUGAUUGACAUCUUAAUGUAAGUGAGAUUAAAAUUACGAGAAACAAAAUCUGACUAUAAGAACCCAUUAAUUAUAUCUUUUCUUCCUGAUUUUGUUACUCUACUUUCUGUAUCUUCCACCAGAAGACUGAAACCUGCAGUACACAGUAUAACAAAUUAGCAGAUGCUUCCAAUGCUAAAGGCAUAUACACAAGUCUUGUAUUUAUGUAUAAACAAAGAGGUGGAGAAACUUGGAGUGCAAGAAAAGGAAAAGGCACGAUUUUAGCAUGAAAAGGACUGUUUGAAAGUGAAAUUAAAAGUGUAGAAAAUAGAAAAGAGACAGAGACUUCCAAAGAUUAAAAAGAAAAGAAAAGAAAAGUAGAAAUGGUCAAAUAGUCUCUUAAAACAUUCUACGAUAUUCCAAUAAUCAAAGAUGAGAUAACUUCAAGAAUUCUAAGGAAAUCAAAACAGGACAUAGUGUCAUAUCUUCCCAUUAAAUUAGCAGCAUAUCAACUAUUUUAAGAAAAUUAAGUCAAAAUUAAGAAAAUUCUUUAAAAUCAUAACCGUUUCAAUUAACCGUUUCUUUGUUUUCUCUCUUUUUUCUAAUUUCCUUUUACAAUUAAUUACUUAUAUGAUGGAUUAACAAAUGGAAAGAAAGAAACCAUAAGUAGCAAAAAGGGAUCCCCUCUUUAUCUUCUAUCACUUGAUUUCUUUUCUUAACUUCUUCUCCAGCUACCCCUCCCUCCUUUUCUCAUAUACAAAGCUUCUGCUACCUUUUUUAUCCUUUAAAAAACCAAAAAGCGGGCCAUGUUCAUGUUUAAAGUUUUGAUACGAUUAUCCUUGGAGCCUUAACCUGAAUUAUACGUAAAAAACGAAGAAAUUAAAGAAAGUCCUUGAAUGAGAGAGAGAGAGAGAGAGAUGGUGAGAGCAUACAUACUUGUUUGUGAAUGCUCACCGGGUGGGGGUGGGGGUGGGGGUGGUAUUAAGAGGAUAUAUAUAUAUAUAUAAAGUGAAGUGAAGAGACAUGAUGCUUUGAUUAAUUUGGAAAAUUAAUGAUGUUUCGAAAAGUCACUUUCCAUGACCGACAUUAAUCUUUCCUUUCCAUGUUACACCAGGUUUUAUAUUUUUUCCUUUUACGUUUAAUUCGUUUUCAAAAUUAACCCAAGAUUUCAGAACGUUGCAAUAUUAAACCUCAACGUCACAAAUGAUCUACUGUAAUUUAAUUUUAAGGCCUGAUUAAAUACCCAAGUUAUUAAAACACACUUGUUCCCAGCAGAACACAAUGUUUAAGGGGGAGAGAGAUCAUCUUGCAUGCAUAAAAUCGAAGACGUGUACUGUAACAGAUAUAUUGUUGUGUUGCAAACAGAUUUCAAGGUUCUAUAUAAAUCCAAGAACUUUUUAUGCACCAACUGAUGAUAUAAUUAUAAGUUAGAGUAAUUAUUGAAACCCUCCCAUAAUUAUUGGAUUUUGUUCCUUAACUUCCACCUAACGGAUUCAUCAUUCUGCUACUUCCAAAUCCAUUCAAGAAAUCUCAAAAGUCCAUUUGAAAUGAACAAAGGAUGCAUUAACCGGUUGAGAUGAAAAUCUCUCAACUAGAAUGAAAAGAUCCUUAUACCUCCAAGGUCUGAUAUGCGGUUUAUUCCUACCACCUGUAUUACCAGAAUGGAAUGCGCUAGUUCUAAGAUGCAGAGUCUGUGUUCGAACAAUGAUUUAUGGAAGCACAGGUACGUGGAGGAGCUUGGAAAUGCGUCCGAAACACAAAGUUUUGGCAACUGGAAAACUAGAUCAAUUCUCUAGAUAUCGAUGUUUUCUGCUAGAUCUUAUGGCAGCAUGAAGUCCACUAAUUUUGUCUGUGAUUGUAACUAUUUGGAUUGUUAAUUUUUUUAAAAAAAGUUUAUGUUCAUAAAUCGCCGGUCUUGCAAAUUGAUAAACCUUUGUUCGAAUGAUAUCGUAGAUUAAAAGGCUUAAAGGAAAUCUUUGUUUGUGUUGCAUAUAUUAAGAGAGUUCUUGAUGCCGGACAAAGAGAGAUUUGAAGAGAAGGGGAGAAGGGAGAGAAAGAACGAAGAGGAGAAGAAGCUGGGAAGAAGAGGAGGAGAGGAGAGAAGGGAAGGGAAGAGGAGAAUUGAACACUACAUUUUUUCUUUAAUUCAUCUAUAAACUGAUAAAUCAAAUAAAGCCCAAUCAAAUAGGUUUAAAGCCGAAACAGAGGGGUGGAACGGGAGUGUCUAAUGAAAGAAAACUCUAUAAGGUCGCGUGGAAUACUCUUUCAAAUCCAAAACAGAUGGAUGGAACUGGUUUGGGUUCUCGCAGAAGGUUUCGGUCUUGGGGUGAUUGCUUUUCCAAAUUUGCACCAAUCAGUUCUGCAUCAGCUAGCAAUGAUUUCGAAAAUGGGAGCUUGACAAGCUUCAGAGUGGACCAGGGCUUUAUCCAUGAGAGAAAGAGGAUGAAACUCGUCCUCAAUCAAUGCUUUCAGCACCAUAUUUACACCAAGAUAGGGUGGUUAUACUGUGAAAUCUUGUAGCGCAGUUGUGGCUGGGUUUUUGCUUCCAUGUCAGACCAUGAACAUCCCCAAUGUAUGGAAACCUACCGCUCUCCCAAAGGUAGAAUUCUUCACUUGGCUGGCUGUUCUUGAUAGACUGAACACAAAGGUAGAAAAUGUAUGUUGCUGCUGUCAAACUGAGGAAGAAUCACUCCACCAUCUACUACAACACUGCCAGCAAGUUUGGAGGAUUUGGAAUCAUGCAUGUGUUCAGUUGGCGAGGAUCAACUUAUACCCUUCCUAAAUCAGCAAGUGGUUUGUUUCAGCAAUGAAGGUUCUUUGCAAGAGGUGGAAAACAAGGUAUUUCCCACAUGAUUUUCUCUCUUUCUUCAUUUUGAUAUUUCAAUUAUUAAAAUAAAGUAAUAAUAUUACUCACACAAUACCAUAAAAUUCAUCGGAAUUUAAAAUUUUUAAUUUAGAAAUUUUGGCCAUGCAUGGUCUACAACCGUGAAAGAGGUCCCAGAAAAACACGAGUCCAAAGCUACUUGGACUUCUCCAUAAAUCAAGUGGAAAAUUGAUAGAUCAGCAGGAAAACUAACGUAGCAUUUCGUUAAAAAUAAACUCUAUUUUCGGCUAUUCCUCAAACAGUGUUUUAAGAUUGUAAGGCUUCACGAUGUCAAGACUUCCACUCCACAUUAGCUUCGCAAAUUGAUUGUUGGCACUCUCAGUUGGAUGAGCCGGAUCAAAGAAGAAAUAUUCACUUGCAUUGUCGCAUAAUUGAUAUCCUUUCUGACCACAAGUAGGGAAGCUUCUGUAAGGACCACUGCCACAACAUGCCUCUUGAACCUCCUUGAAACCUUCAUAUAUAGAGAAAUCACAUUUAAAUUCAUAACAAGGACAGGAAAUCUAUAUAGGGACCUUGAUUUUAAUUAUUUAAUACUUAUAGACAGGCAUUACCAUAUUUUUAUUAAUUCUCUCCCUUCCUGCAACAUAGGCAUCAAAAAUUGAGUAUCUAAAUCCUUCUAGUUGUCCCUCAAGCUCUUUGAGUGCUUUAGGGAGUGCUCUGUUGUGUAGUUUUGCAAACAUUGUAGCUUCAUCCAAGCAACCUGACACCCCUGUUCUUUCCUGUUUAGCUGCUCUCAAGGAUGGUAGACAACCCAAAGCAAUCAACGUUGACAAUCCAAAUUUCCUUCCUCCUAUCUUGUAUAUUUCCUGGAACAGUACAAUUACGCAAUCAUAAUCCAAGAUCAACUUGGAAAGAAGAGAAAGAAUGGUUCUUUAGCAUGCUAAAUUACUUGGAUCACUGUUGUUAUAUUGCCAAUAACCAUCCCAACAUACUCUUCUCUUGAAUAUAAUUGAAGCAAACUGUGCGUUGGUGUUAGAGCUGCAAAGUAGUCAUUGCCUCCAAUGCUGAACAUGUAAACUGCUGUGGACAGCAAGUUUUUAGCUUCUGCUUCACCUAGUUGAAGCCUUAACUGCCUUUUCAUAUGCUUGAAAUAGCUUAGUUGAGUGCUAAGGUUUAUCACCUUCAAAGAAAAGGGGAAAAAAUGAAAAACCGAAAAAAAAAAAAAACAGUUAUGGAACAUAUCUAAGACAGUAAACUUUGUGUUCUUGACAUACCCAUCCAUGAUGAGUUUCAACAAGAGCACCAGCUCCAGAUGAUGCAAAGUUCACUCCAUUUAUAAAUCGAUGAUUACUGGAUUGUAGAUGUUGUUGUAUUUCAGAGCUUAUCACCUUGAAAACAAUCAUUGAAUCUCAUUAUUCCUUUAGAAGAUUUAAGAGAGAUCUCGAGUUUAAUUAAUUUAUAAAAAGACGAAAAGUGGUGGGGAUCAAUAACAUUGAAGACCCCACCAAGAAAAAACAACAUCAUGAUGACAGACAUACCAUUCCUUGGAGAUUUUCAGCGAGAACAAGAUCCCCUUUUGACUCAAAGUUUUCUCCAUCCAUAAAUUGAUGGUUACCAGGUUGUAGAUAUGGCGGAAUUAAAGGUAAAUUUGCAUAUUGAGCUGUCACAAAACAUUUCAUAAAAAUAAGAAAAGAAAGAACAAAAAAGAAUGAAUUAAAGUGCUCUUAACUGUAAUGAUCUUACCAAUAAAAUCUGGAAUUAAUCGACCAUCACAAGGCCUUCCUGUGGGAUGCUUGAAGAAGGUUCCAUACCAUACAGAAAUCUGAAAAGAUAGGAGCAUCUUCGAUGUACUUGUUGUUUCCAGCAUCAUAUAAUGAAUCUCCAAAGAUAAAUAAGGCAACAUGCUUAGAACCAUGGCAGCUUCUUGCAACCAGAAGGCUUGCACAAAACACCAAGAAACAAUUCUUAAUAUUGGACCUUGAAAUACUGUUAUAUAAUUGUAUAAGGAUUGAUAAUAUAUUUUUUAGUUAGAAAGAAAAAUUUAUUUGUAAAUUUAAAAUUUGAAGUAUAUAUUUAAUAAAAUAAAUUAAAAAUUAUAAGUGCUAAUAAAUAUAUAAAAAAUAAGUUGUCAAGGUGAAAACAAAUACAAAUUAAAAUAUUCGAUUUUACAUUAUAAAGAACCCUUCAAUUAUUUAUAUUUAAUUAUAUAACAGUAUUUUAAUUAUAAAAAUAAUAAUUUAAAUUUUGUUUAAACAAAAUAAUUUUCUAUUAUAUUUCCUUCUUUUAUUAAUACUUUUAAUUUCAGUAAAAAAAAUUAACUUUUUGUUGCUUGUCUUUCAUUUAAUAAAAAUUAAAAGAAAUUAGAAUACAUAUCCAUAGGAUUUUGGAUGAUUUAAAAUAAAAAAAAAAUAUCUCUCUAAUUAGAAUCUGUUUGCCUAGCUGACACGCUCAUUUAAAAAAAAAAAUCUUUAUCAGAAUAUUUAAUUUUUAGAUAUUAUUUUAUCAUUAUCUUAAAACAAGUUUGAAUGAUUAUAAAACACAUUUUGAUAACCUAGAAAAUAAUAAUUUAAUAAACAUCCUUAAAACUUAAAAAAAUAAUAAUUUAUUAGCCCAAAAAAACCUAAAACAAUUGUCCAAAAUAAAAAAAGUAAAAAUCAUGAAAAAAAGUUUUCUUUAUCUUUUGAGUAGUUUUUAAUAUCUUGAGCUCUACCUCACUUGUCUCUGAUGAUUGAUUAUUAUAAAAAAUUUCUAUAGCUCCCAAUUUCCAAGAUUAUAGUAUGAGGCGACAAGGCAAGUGGCUGUGUUUUUUCAAAAAUACAAUCAAAGGCAGUAAGACACGAUUAUGCUGAAAAAAUUCUUAUGGUAAGCUUUGGUUGGUUUAGAAAAAUAUGCUUGAUUCAUCACGUUUCUCCACCAAUAAAAGUGUUGGCAUGAAAACAAGUAGAAUUAAUGAGAUUGUGUAUAGAAAAAUAUAUAAAAUAUUUGCACAAUAAAAAAAAGAAUAGAAGAAAAAAUAUAUAAAAUAUACAUAAAAAUAAAAAAUAUAUCUAAAAAGAACCUAAGUAUUUUUUUGGCUGGGCUCGAAAUCAUACCCAACUGUCUAGAUCCGAUAGUUUUUAUUUUAGCUGAUAUGAUCAUUAUGAUUGUAAGAAAUUGUUCAAUAAGAGUUAUUAUCUUAUAUAAGAUUUAAAAAUUCAAAAUCUUUAUUUUAUAACUUCUAAGUUUUGAGUACAUUAUUAUUAUUAUUAUUAUUAAUAUAUGAAAUGAAUGACUAUUAAAGUUAUUAAUUAGAUGUUAGACUGGUGGCGGAAAUCGUAAUGGCGGCUAAUAUUUCAAGUCGGCUUGAAUAUUACUGCUCGACGGCUUAGCUAGGUAGAUAGCUCAAGCUCAACUCAAGCGGGUGAAAUAUGAUUGUUACAGAUUGUAACAGCUAAAUCCAGCUAGAGAGGAGUAGGAAUCCAGGAAAAAAACAAUCAACGGCUAGGAUUGGGUUGGGUAUUUGAGAAUGGGUCCGCUUCCUGUCCAGGAGAGAGGGGGGAAGAAGACUUGGUUGGUUUUCUUUCUCUCUCCACAAGGCAAGGAAAAAAAUGAAAUCAAGGUUGUCAAUUCUAUUUUGAUAUGUAUUUUAUUUAUUUAAUUGAAAUGAAAUAUUUUAGUUUUGAAGUAUUUUAAUAUAUUAUUUUGGAGUUGUACUGUUUAUAUAUAUAAUUCAAAUUAAUUAAUUAUAACAUAAUUCAAAUUUAAGAUAAAUUAAUUAUAAAUUAUGCAAUACAAACACAAUGCCAAACAAAUAUAAUUUCAAAAUUUAAAAUAUUUUUAAAUAGUCAAGAUUAAAUAAAUCUUUAACUUAAAGUAAUUCAACUUAAACAAAAUAUCAAAAUAUUAUGAAAGUAAAAUGUUUUAAUAAAAAUAUUUUAAAUAUAAAAUUAGGUUAAUGUUAUCAAGUGGUUAAUGGAAUCUAAAGCUUCCCUUGUUUUGCUCAAAUUCCUACAAAGUAUAAAUAUGAAAAAAAAAAUAACAUGAAUAUAAACCAUAUAUAUUAGUGAUAAAUCUAAUUUUAAAAAAUUAAUAUUAUUGUUAAUGAAAAUAGUAAUAAUAAUUUUCAAUAUUAUUAUUAAUAUCAUUGCUAUUGAAAAUAGUAAUGAAAAAGAGCUUUUUUAUAAUCAGGUGGUUUAAUUAAUGAAAUUAAGUAAGGUUCAAUUUGAUUCAAUGACUUUUUAAGAGUGGAACGAAACAUGUGGAAUGAAACUGGAACGUUUCGGGCGAAAUUUAGCUGAAAAAUCCAGAAUGGACCGAGAUUUAAAAUUAGAUGAAAUUUGUUCCGUUUUUUGAAUUAAUAUGGAAUGUUUCGGCCAUUCUGGACGAAACGGAACGGAAUUGACAACCUUUAAUGAAAUAAAAUGAUGGUGGUUUUCUGGGACCCGUGUAUCCCCUGAAAUUGAAAGACCAUACGACCACGUGUUGCCGGUAAGGUCACUUUCAAUAUUCAUCCCCAUCCUCAUCCUCAUCCCUAUGGUCUAAAUUAUAAAACUAAGUCCUUUUAGUUUUGAGAAAUGAAUUAAUUAGUUAUUUUUUAAAAAAAAUAAAUUAUUUAGUCCUUUUUGUUCAUUUAUGUUUUUUAUUUUUUAAAAAAUAAAAGAAAGGAAAUGAAUAAAUAAAUAUUAUAAAAAAGUAACCUGGUCAAUGAACUAGGUAAUUUAUUUUUUUAAAAAAAGAUUAAUUAAUUUAUCUUUUAAAAAUAGAGAAACUGUUUUUUACGAGAAUUCACAUUUUUUUAUAUCCAAUAUGUAUAUUUAUGCUCUAAAACAGACAUCGGUUAUGAGAAGAUUUGACAAAAAUACCGACAACAUUGACAAAAAAAAAAAAAACACUAAUUGAGAAUAUUUUGAAAUGUUUGGAACCUAAUUGAAAAAAUUCAUAGGUUUUAAAUGUAAUUGAGAAUGGAUAUACAAGUUGGAGAGUAACAUGAGGGUUUCCCUAUAAUAGCAUGUUUUAAAUUAUAUAUACUUAUAAUUUUUAAAUUUUAAUUUCAUCGUUUGAUUUUUGAACAAAUAAAAUAUGUAUAAUUGGACCAGGUCUAAAGAUUAGAUGGGAUCAAACCAAUAAGAAGCCUGAGAAAGUCCACGAAGAAAAACCAGCUAACAUUGCAAUGAGGACUUGUUUCAACAGUUAGAAUGACAAAAAACCCAGCUAACAUCGGCAAAUAUAGGUUCAAAUUACCAGUUUACAUACCUGACGUCCACUGUGCAUAAAAAUAUCUGUAUUUAAAAUGAUUUUUAUAUUUGAUCCUAUUAUUACAUACCUAACGUCCACUGUGCAUCAAAAAAUUACCUGGAACUAUUAAAAGAUGUUUUUAUUUAUAAUUUUUUAAAAUAUAAAAACAUGUUAGAGAAGUUGUGUAUAUACAUAUUAUUGCUGAAAAAAAUAUCUUUAUUUAAAAUGAUUUUUGUAUUUUAUCCUAUUAUUUUGUACCAUUAGAGAAGACAACACAAUAAAACUAUAUAGGUGAUGAGACAAAGGGAUAAAAUGGGGAUCCAAAAACAUUUUAAAUAUUUGUUAGUAAAUUAAAAACACCAGAAGCCAAUAAAUUAUAGUGUUGAUUAUAAAAAUAAAGGUAUUAAGUUAUAAUUUUGUUUAAAAUGCAAGGGAUAAAUUUACACCACAUCCAUUUAAUAAUUAUUAUUAACAUAUAUUGAAAGACCUUGAUAUUUCAUUAUAGCAAUAAACAGUGAAAUGUGAUAGCCUUAGUUUGGUCCUCAAGAUUUACUAAAAGAUCUUAGCAUUUUAUUAUUGCAAUGAACAUUAAAAUGCUUUGACCUUUUACAAUUUGAUCCUCGAGGUUUUUUAUUUUAUUUUUUGCAAUUUCAUCUUCUGACAUUAAAUUUAAUGGACAUUGAACUUUAUAGUUUAUUUUGAUUUAUUUUCUAUGAAGUUAUCUUAGUCUUAUAAUCUAAGUUUUAACAAGUUAAUACGAGUUUACUCGACUAUUUUUUUGUAUUUUUUUUUAAAUUUAACUUCAUCCUUCAGUAUUGAGUUGAUUGAGAAUUUGAUUUGAUUUUUUUUUAUUUGUUUUAUAUAGGGUUAUCAUGGUCUCGUGACCUGGAUCACAAGUUUUGCGAGUUAGCCAAUUUGAUUGGAAUUUUUUUAGGUCCUUUGUUCUUUUUAAUUGAAUUUUUUUUUCAAUUUCAUUAUUCAAAUUGAAAAUUUGAAUUCAGAAUUUUUUUUUAUUUCAAAGUUAUCCCGGUCUCAUGAUUGAGGUUUGAUAGGUUAACCGAGUUUGAAUCAAUAUUUUGUUUUUUUUUUAAUUGAUUUUUUUUUCAAAUUAAUCCUUCAACAUUGAGUUGAUUGGAAAUUGUGCUUUAUAAUUUAUUUUUAUUUAUUUUCUAUAGAUUAUCAUGGUUUCAUGACCCAAGUCGCAGGUUGCUUGAUUGCCUCGAGUUUUUUUUUCUUUUUUUUAAUUAUUUUUUUUCAAUUUCAUCCUUCAAUAUUGAGUUGAUUAAGCAUUAGAUUUCAUAAUUUAUUAAGCAUUAGAUUUCAUAAUUUAUUUUGGUUUGUUUACAUGAAGUUAUGACAACCUCAUGACUUAAGUCACAAGUUUGGUUGGUUAACUCAAGUGGUUUUUUCGUGCUCUUUUUUUAAUUGAUUUUUUUUUCAAUUUCAUCAUUUAAAAUUAGAUUGAUUGAGAAUUGAGCUUCAUAAUUUAUUUAAGUUUUUUUCUAUAUAGUUAUCUCAUUCUCAUAACUAAGAUAACCUAGGUUGACUCGACUUCUUUUUCUAAUUGAUUUUUUUUAAUUUUAUUAUUUAAUAUUGGAUUAAUUGAGAAAUGAGCUUAAUGAUUAUUUUUUAUUUACUUCUACAGGGUUAUCAAGGUUUUAUGAUAUGAGUUGGAGAUUUGAUAGGAUAACUUGAGUUGAUUCGAGUGAAUCCAAAUCGAUUUGAGUAAAUCUAAGUAGAUACAAUAUAUUAUUGUCUUACUAUUUUAAAAAUAAUAUCGUGCUGAAUUUUUUUUUGUCAAGUUACAUUUUUACCUGUUAUUUAAGUUGUUUUUAGAUCUAUAAAGUUGAUUAUAUCAUAUCAGGACAGUUUUUAUAUAAUUUAUUUAUUUAUUUUUGCUAGAAAAUAUAUUAAAUAAAUUACUUCAUCAACUUUGCCAAUAAAAACAUGAUAGGUUCGAAUCAUUUUCCAUUUAUAAUAGUGUUUAGAUAAGUGAAUGACCUCAUCAACUUUGCUAUUAAAAACAUAAUACGGGCAACCGUGUGAUUAUGGUUUGGAUCCAGGUCGGGACAAGUGCUGGAGUUCAUGAUCGUGACCACCUAGCAUCUUCGAAUAAUUCUCCUCUAUCACCCUUUUUUUUUUUAAUGCUUGUUUGGAAUAAGUUUUUGAGAUUAGUUGUGAUUAUGAUGUCAUUCUACUGUCAUUAAGAAUAAAUUAACUCUAACCGAGGAUUAAAACAGAUUUAUCAAAUACUUUUUGCACUGUGUCUAGCUAAUGGAGAAUAUAUUGAAAAGAAAAAUACCCUUGAGAAUUCACAGCCAAAAGCGUUAAUCACGUUUCUGUUUAAAACAGGAAAAGGCAUGCAAUAAUUGACAAAUGUUGCUUGAAAUCACAGCUAUCUUCCUUCUCUGAAACUUCAAUUGCUUUAUUAUACUUUUAUAGGCAUAGCCAAGUCAAGCCUGCACCGUGUGGAGCCUAAUCAAUAUAAUCAGAGACUGCUGUUUGCCUUUUCCAUUUUUCAUCUCAUACUGCUCUGUCUUCUCAAUAUUUACUUGCCAUUUCUUGCUCACCUCCCCUGCUUUUAGUUUUCCUUGCACCUUUUCUACCUCUUCUUUUCCAUUCCAAAACAAGCUAUGGCUGAUGCUAUUGUUUCUGCUCUCGCGAGUACAAUCGUGGGGAACUUAAAUUCCUUAUUUCUUCAAGAGCAUGGACUUGCU